RNAcentral lists this ribosomal RNA (439 nucleotides) under uncultured Klebsiella sp. RNAcentral describes it as "bacterial SSU rRNA". It matches the Rfam family "Bacterial small subunit ribosomal RNA", at positions 958 to 1397 of the family's 1533-position model. The record is from RNAcentral. Lineage: Bacteria; Pseudomonadati; Pseudomonadota; Gammaproteobacteria; Enterobacterales; Enterobacteriaceae.
AACGCGAAGAACCUUACCUGGUCUUGACAUCCACAGAACUUAGCAGAGAUGCUUUGGUGCCUUCGGGAACUGUGAGACAGGUGCUGCGUGGCUGUCGUCAGCUCGUGUUGUGAAAUGUUGGGUUAAGACCCGCAACGAGCGCAACCCUUAUCCUUUGUUGCCAGCGGUUCGGCCGGGAACUCAAAGGAGACUGCCAGUGAUAAACUGGAGGAAGGUGGGGAUGACGUCAAGUCAUCAUGGCCCUUACGACCAGGGCUACACACGUGCUACAAUGGCAUAUACAAAGAGAAGUGACCUCGCGAGAGCAAGCGGACCUCAUAAAGUAUGUCGUAGUCCGGAUUGGAGUCUGCAACUCGACUCCAUGAAGUCGGAAUCGCUAGUAAUCGUAGAUCAGAAUGCUACGGUGAAUACGUUCCCGGGCCUUGUACACACCGCCCGU